Eucalyptus grandis is the source of this 760-nucleotide long non-coding RNA. RefSeq lists it as uncharacterized. The transcript has 2 exons. Lineage: Eukaryota; Viridiplantae; Streptophyta; Magnoliopsida; Myrtales; Myrtaceae. The record is from RefSeq and is a predicted model, not a curated record.
AUGGAGAAGGAAAUGGGAGAAGGUUAACGGGCAAGCAUGAAACAACCAACAUUGACACAUUUUCUUGGGUAAUGCUCAGAAGAAGCGUACCAAAUCCUACUCAAAUUCUAAGAUUGCCCAUUCAAUUGAAUCUUGGGAUGCCAGAAUUACUUGAAAUCAAUUAUGCAGGUAGUUGCCAAUCAUGGCUGCUCAUUCCGUGUGGGUUGUGACACUAAGAGGCAAGGAAAAGGUUACUUGGAAGAUAGGCGUCCUGCCUCAAACAUGAACCCAUAUGUUGUGACCUUGUUACAUGCAGAAACAACAAUUUUAUGAGAGCCCACCCUUGAAGUUGAAGCUCUUGCUGCUCCUAAGUUUGCAUUGAAGGUCUAAAAUUCAAGUUGCUGGUUAAGAAAGGCCCAAUGCAUUAAAUCAAAUCAGGGAGGACCCACAAGAUGAGAGACUGUGAACCUCUUUUUCUCCACAUUUAGGUCAUUGAGAGAAGAUCCUCAUGUAAGUAAAGCUUCCGACGGAGAGAAAAUUAGGCGUCCAGGCUUAGACCUGGUCUUCUGCACAUUGUUUUCAUACUACAUUCGUGAGUAGUCUCAAUGUUUUGGUAUUUGAGUUCAACAUUACCCUUUAGCGUCAUGGACAUCUUGCUUUGUUUGAAUUGUCAGUUUGAAUUGGUAUUUUUGCUAAUCUUCGUGUCUUGAAACUUAGGGAAGUGCUUUAUAAACAUAUGUAUAAAAUGAAGACAUUUCAAUGCAAGUCGUCCAAAUUUUCA